Molecule: long non-coding RNA, 878 nt
Filed under: Oncorhynchus kisutch (coho salmon)
Lineage: Eukaryota; Metazoa; Chordata; Actinopteri; Salmoniformes; Salmonidae
Description: lncRNA (ENSOKIG00005040167.1)
Source: RNAcentral
GUUGAAAGCUGUUCUUGUUCUGUCGACUGUGUGAAUUUGAAUGGCGACUGUUCGGUUUUGAGCACUGCAGUGCAGGGUGGAGGAGGAGGAGGAGCCUGUCCAGGGUCUGAGCACUGCAAUGCAGGGUGGAGGAGGGGGAGGAGCCUGUCCAGGGUCUGAGCACUGCAAUGCAGGGUGGAGGAGGGGGAGGAGCCUGUCCAGGGUCUGAGCACUGCAAUGCAGGCUGGAGGAGGAGGAGGAGCCUGUCCAGGGUCUGAGCACUGCACUACAGGGUGGAGGAGGAGGAGCCUGUCCAGGGUCUGAGCACUACACUGCAGGGUGGAGGAGGAGAAGGAGCCUGUCCAGGGUCUGAGCACUGCACUGCAGGGUGGAGGAGGAGGAGGAGCCUGUCCAGGGUCUGAGCACUGCACUGCAGGGUGGAGGCGGAGGAGGAGCCUGUCCAGGGUCUAAGCACUGCACUGCAGGGUGGAGGAGGAGCCUGUCCAGGGUCUAAGCACUGCACUGCAGGGUGGAGUGGGGGUGGUGGAGGAGGGCUGCACUGGGUUUACAGCAUGUCUCAUAGUCAGGUGACUUCUGAGCCCGGACAUGUGACGGUCUUGUCUGGGUCUAUUUGAUUGAUCAGCGUUUUCUUCUUCUUCUUUUUUUUUGCCUUUGAAAAAUAGUUAGUAGAUCAUUAUGUAAGGUAUCAUUAUUGUAGUUAUAUGUAGACAAACAUAGCCUACUCAUUAUCCCCCCCCCCCCCCACACACACACACACACACACACACACAUAUGACUAAAAAGGUUGCAGUUGAAAAUGAGAACUUGUUCUCAACUGGCCUACCCGGUUAAAUUAAGUUGAAAUAAAUAAAACAAAUCAAUCAAUCAAAAGGCUAUAA